This 20-nucleotide small nuclear RNA is filed under the name Arabidopsis thaliana (thale cress). Its description in RNAcentral is "snRNA_12044". The record is from RNAcentral. Lineage: Eukaryota; Viridiplantae; Streptophyta; Magnoliopsida; Brassicales; Brassicaceae.
UGGACCCAAGAACUGAGCAU